Molecule: long non-coding RNA, 2119 nt
Organism: Betta splendens (Siamese fighting fish)
Lineage: Eukaryota; Metazoa; Chordata; Actinopteri; Anabantiformes; Osphronemidae
Source: Ensembl
CUCAUGCUGGUAGCAUGUCUCCUCCUUGCUCUCAUCAUGCGCGGGCUCAUAAUUACAAGCCAACUAAAAACUAUUAUGCUGCAUUGCCUCCCUUUGCUCGGCCCGCGCUGCACUUAAUUAUACUCCGGCCGGUAAAGCAAAUGUAAAUUUGACAGCGACACAAGUGGAAUGAACUUUAACUUUGACGUGAAAAAAGUAGCAAGAGAGAAUAUUCACGUCGCAGUAACUUCCCUUUUAACCCUCUUCAGCCACUGUGCAAAUCAGUGUAAAUCAGCCGCGUACACACACUUGACGGCCACGUGAGCUGUGGGAAUGACACUAAUUAACAGGCUUCCACAGGGUCAUAUAUAGUGUGGUGACUAGAAAAGGGGAAUAAAUUAUAAGAGUAGUCUGCAAUUGCCCUCAAAGACUAGACUACUUAUUACUAUUAUAAGAACGUUGCCAACAGCUACAAGUAAAUUGGAAAUGAGCUGAAAAACAGCCCUGGUGCAAUAACCUGGUGACACUGACAUAAAGAAAGCGCUGUGAACAGCCUUCAAUGCAGCUGCUCUUAAAUGCCACAAAUGACUGAAUAAUAAACACAGUGUGUGUCACAGAUUAUAUAUGUUGCACAUACAUCAUGAGGGUCCGUGUUGUUAAGGGCUGCUGCUGACAUGGAUUAUUCACAGAUUCCUGGGGAAUUCUUGUUAGACAUAAAAGGCGCCCAAGGUCUCGGUAGAGAAAAACAUGUUAUCAGGUGUUUGAAUGGUUCAGAGGGGAAAAAAGGCUGAUUAAUUAAUAAUGAAUUAAAGGUAAACGCGUCACGAGGAGCGUCUGCGCCGCGCAUUGAUAAGCUGCGCCGCACAAAGCGCCGCGCUCUAAUCCUCAGACUUUAGUCCUGGCAAAUCCAUUUUGCUCUGUUUACCUCCAGGAUGAAGUCGUUGGAAAUGCGCCGUAAUGCAUACAGGACGAGCGGACGCGCGGCUCGUGCUGCUUUCUGCCGAGGAAACCAAGGACCGGAGGUGCAGUAGCUGCAGAAACAAACCAGAAGUUGUGAGUCUUGAAGGUCUGGUCACGCUGAGAGGAAACGCACGAGCAGCUUCUCACAAACUUCUCCGUCAAAAACAAUCUGUUGUUUAGGAAUUUCAUCAUAACCUCCUAAAAAGCAAAAGCAUGAAUCCAUUUUAAUGAAGCUCAUCACAUUCUGCUAUGAAUGAACCAAAGUACAGAUCCAAACGUUUAGUUCAGUCUUUUUCUGCCAAAGGUCCAUUUUACUCUAAACUAUGACUCGUCUAAUUUGCUGCAUUCCCUUUGACAUUCAGACCUUUUCUCACCCUCUUCAGGUGGAGGUUUCUUUUUAUAGCUCAUCCGCUGCUCCCUGCCUUCAGGUUUGAACCCGCGGUGUUUUCCUGACGCGUGAAAGCGAUGCUUGUGAUGUGCGGCGGUCACGGGGCAAAGGCGAGCGGCUCCGAGGGAAGGUUCUGAGCAAGUGGGUCAAAAGCAGCCGACUCCGGCGCCUCGGCCGCGCUGAAGCAGCGACCUCCAUCAGGGGUCAGAUCCAGACUCCAGACAGCGAGCGCUGAUAGAUUAGGACCACGGCAGCUCAGAAAGUUUCCACGACUCCAAGAAGGUGCCACUCAUUUAGUCUGAGAGUCAGGUUUCACACGUAGUAACGUGUUAAAUAUAAUAAGGCAAAGAAACGAAAAUCAGUGUAAGCUUCUAGCAGAGAUGAAGGUUGUCUGUGUUUCAAGGUGAGAAAAAUACAUCCACCAGCUCCUUUAAAGCCUUUUAAAUAAUACAUCCACUUUCAGUUCAUUAAUCUGCACUAAAGCUGAAUCCAAUUUCAGCCAAUUUGCUGCUUUAUGGAGAUUAUAUGCCAGACUAGUUAUGUGGCUGCGAGCAGCAACUUACUGGAGUCUCAACGUAUUGUAGCGUUUGAACGCGACUUCGCUCAGACGCGGGAAACGAAGAACAAUGUGUUCGUUACUGAGCCUUAAAGGAGCCGAGAGGUGAACGCUCUGAAACGGCAAAGGCCGACCUCUGUCUGCGCUGCUUUCCAGUUAAUGCUAACCUGAGCUAACUGGCUGCAUGUGCAUCGCAGGCGCCGCCAGAAGCAGGAAAAAGCACAUUUCCACAACUA